Ficedula albicollis (Collared flycatcher) is the source of this 3086-nucleotide long non-coding RNA. The record is from Ensembl. NCBI's taxonomy places the organism in Eukaryota, Metazoa, Chordata, Aves, Passeriformes, Muscicapidae.
AUGGACAAUGCCAGGGUGGAUCCUGGGGACAGGAGGUGGCUCCAUGGACAAUGCCAGGGUGGAUCCCAGGGCAGGUGGCAGCUCUGGGGUCAUCCCUGGGUCCAGUCCUGGGGAGGAGGUGGCUCCAUGGACAGUCCCAGGGACAAUCCAAGGGGCAGGAGGUGGCUCAAAGGACCACCCCAGGGUAGAAGCUGGGGGCAGGAGGUGCCUUGGCACUUUUCCCAGGACAAUCCUGGGGGAUGUGGUCGAUCCCAGGACAGUCCCAGGACAAUCCCAGGACAAUCCCAGGGGGACGUGGUCGAUCCCAGGACAAUCCCAGGACGAUCCCAGGGGGAUGUGGUCGAUCCCAGACAAUCCCAGGAUAAUCCCAGGACAAUCCCGGGGGAUGUGGUCGAUCCCAGGACAAUCCCAGAGGAUGUGCUGGGUCUCUGCAUGAUCCCAGGGACAAUCCCAGGACAAUCCCAGGACAAUCCUGGGGGAUGUGGUCGAUCCCAGGACAGUCCCAGGACAAUCCCAGGACAAUCCCAGGGGGACGUGGUCGAUCCCAGGACAAUCCCAGGACGAUCCCAGGGGGAUGUGGUCGAUCCCAGACAAUCCCAGGAUAAUCCCAGGACAAUCCCGGGGGAUGUGGUCGAUCCCAGGACAAUCCCAGGACAAUCCCAGGACAAUCCUGGGGGAUGUGGUCGAUCCCAGGACAGUCCCAGGACAAUCCUGGGGGAUGUGGUCGAUCCCAGGACAGUCCCAGGACAAUCCCAGGACAAUCCCAGGGGGACGUGGUCGAUCCCAGGACAAUCCCAGGACGAUCCCAGGGGGAUGUGGUCGAUCCCAGACAAUCCCAGGAUAAUCCCAGGACAAUCCCGGGGGAUGUGGUCGAUCCCAGGACAAUCCCAGGACAAUCCCAGGACAAUCCUGGGGGACGUGGUCGAUCCCAGGACAGUCCCAGGACAAUCCCAGGACAAUCCCAGGGGGACGUGGUCGAUCCCAGGACAAUCCCAGGACGAUCCCAGGGGGAUGUGGUCGAUCCCAGACAAUCCCAGGAUAAUCCCAGGACAAUCCCGGGGGAUGUGGUCGAUCCCAGGACAAUCCCAGGACAAUCCUGGGGGACGUGGUCGAUCCCAGGACAGUCCCAGGACAAUCCCAGGACAGCCCCGGGGAUGUGGCACUCCUGGCCGGUCCCAGGUCGCUGCUGCCAGCAGGUGUCAUCGCUCCUCCGCGCUGCAUCCCCGCCGCUCCAGCACCGCAUCCACCGCUUUUUAUCCUCAAAAACCAACAAAACCCGGCUGUGACACCCAGCACAGCGAGCCUGUGCUCCAUCCUGCUCCCUGUGCAUCGCCCCCGGCUUCCUAACCGGGACCAAGCCAAGGAAAACGUCACUAAGCUGGGCACAGACUCUGCUCGGGUGUAAAUUCCCUAAAAUAUCCAGCUGAGCAUCAGGGCAGCCACUUCCCAAACAUUUUUCCCUCCUAAUCCAUUCAGCUCACUCAACCACUUGACUUCAGUCACCAGAGCAACGCAGGCCAGUGUUUUAUCUUUGUACAUAUUGACUACAAAGUUUGAAAAUGAACAAUCCUUCCGAGGCAUAAACAAGAAUUACAAAAUCUAAUUGCUCGUGAACCUUUAAAUUCCUGCAAUAUUUUAUAAUGACAUAAAUUUGCCACUCUCUUGCACAAAGAUAACACGGAGAUAAAGUGUUUGAAUUUGCUAAUUAGCAAACAUAAAACGCAGGGACGAGGUCUUAAUGAAACUAUUGGGAUGUUCAAUCAAAGGCUAUGAUAGCUCCAGAAUUUUCAUUGCCAGGACUCAGAUCUUUGGGCUUUUAGCUCUUCAGGCUACAGAGAUGGAUUGAGCUCCUUACAGGUUAAUAUUCCCCUUAACCUGGAAAAAACAGCCCAGCAUUUAAGCCAGCUAAAACACGCAUGGAUGGCUGUGGUAAUUAAUUUGCACAUUUUAGUGCUUUUAAACGAAUUAAUCUUACACUCUGCCAUCAGCCAUGUAUCUAGACCUGGAGUUGUAAAGCUUCUUAUGUAUGAGAGCAAUGAAGGAUGAAUGUUUUGUCCUUUCUGUUUGUUAUUACCAAGUUUUCAGUAUUUUGUAAAUAAGAGUUUUAAUGUUGGUGUGAGUUUUCAACACUUUCCCCCUGAUAAGGACACAGGAGCAGCUUCCCUGGCCCUGCUGAUCCUGAGCCCUGUGCUCUGGGAUGUGUUUUGGGGAGGAUACACAGCAAAUUCUGUCAAACUCUGCCUCAGAGUUUGUUUACCCUGAUAGAACCUGAUCCCAGUCAGUUUUCCUGUGGCUGGCACCCCAAACCUGGUUCAGUGGCUUUGAUGAGCUCUAGGAAGAGCUGGACAAGUCCCAGAUGCCCCCAAAUCCUGCUGAAGCUGGGCUAAAAGGGCCAGCACACCCCAAGGCUUGCCUGGGUUUGCUUUGCUGCCAUCAGGAGCUGCUCAUCACCCCCUGCAUCAGCUCAGCACCAACUCAGGGUGAUUUUAUUCAAUAUUUCAGGGCCAGGGUUGGUUACGGGGUCUCUGCAGCUCAGACACCACAGCACGGUUGUCAGGGUGACAGGGACACUCCCAGAAGCCAGGGUUGGUUACGGGGUCUCUGCAGCUCAGGCACCACAGCACGGCUGUCAGGGUGACAGGGACACUCCCAGAAAGGGGUUUUUGGGGGAUGUGUUGGGUUGAUGUGGCCAGAAAUGUGAAUUCUGUCCCAUCUGCUGCAGCCGGGUGGGGCAGUGACCCUGAUCUCCUGGCACACAUUAUCUGCUAAUGGGCCAGCUUUAAACCAGCUGGGCAAUCAUCUUUAUCUUCCCACAGCCCAUCCUCCCUCCAGGAGAUAUCUCCUCUUCAUGGCCACUGAGUCCCAGGGCAUGACUGAGAAAAUUACAUCAUCCCACUGGGAGAUGCUCCAGCCAGGGGAGGAGCCAAGCCUUUCCUACCCAGAGAAAAACUGAGAUUUGGAACACCAACCCCCCCCCCCCCCCCCCCCCCCCCCCCCCCCCCCCCCCCCCCCCCCCCCCCCCCCCCCCCCCCCCCCCCCCCCCCCCCCCCCCCCCCCCCCCCCCCCCCCCCCCCCCCCCCCCCCCC